This 725-nucleotide long non-coding RNA is filed under the name Homo sapiens (human). RNAcentral describes it as "HSALNT0357092". Lineage: Eukaryota; Metazoa; Chordata; Mammalia; Primates; Hominidae. The record is from RNAcentral.
GUCACAAUAGGCUCUUCAAACACCUUUCUGACAUAACUAAGGCAAUCAGCCCAUUGCGCCAUAACCAGAAGACAAUAUCUAAUGGCAAUUGCCAUGUAUAGUGUGAAGGCCUUUCCUUGUGGAUUCAGAAUGGAGCAUGGACCACAAUUCUCAGAAGCGACUUCUAGAGAGAUGUUGGGUGUAAUGCCAGCCAUUGUUACAAUAGGACAUUGCAUUUUAUACCUGAGAUCACUGACUGGUUGUCAUCAGAUAGAAUCAUGUAGUCCCCUGUUGUACAAACAGAACAUUCUGAUGACUAUUCAUUAAGUGAAAUAUAAUGGAACACUUAAAGUGACCCCAAGAUUAAACCCUUAUUUGGGGUUUGUCUAAUGACUAAUGGUCACUACCACCAGUUUGGAGACAUUACAACAAAACUCUGCUGCUGACAAAAAUAUUAACCAUAAAUGAUGAGAAAUUUUCAGUUGGGACCAAAAGAACAUCUGGAGGCCAUUAAAGCAGGAGAAUUUUCCCUCUAUGUCCUGAUUGCCAAACUUAGAACCAACCACCCAGAAACUGUGGCCCUCAUGCUAACUCAAUGUUUAUAUUUCAUUAAAAACGAUUUCAAGGGUUUGCGUCUUGCACUUCAUGGCCCAACUCCCAUGCAUACAGCUUUUCAUCUCACUGAGCAUGUCCUGGAGCAGACGAGCAUUCCUCACCUCUUGGUUUCAGAAGAAGGAGCUUCUUGG